CGGACCAAAGGGGGCUUCGGCUCCCGCCCAGAGAGUGGCCUAAGCGAGAUUAGCUUGUUGGUGAGGUAAAGGCUCACCAAGGCGACGAUCUCUAGCUGUUCUGAGAGGAAGAUCAGCCACACUGGAACUGAGACACGGUCCAGACUCCUACGGGAGGCAGCAGUGGGGAAUAUUGCACAAUGGGGGAAACCCUGAUGCAGCCAUGCCGCGUGUGUGAAGAAGGCCUUCGGGUUGUAAAGCACUUUCAGUUGUGAGGAAAGUUUAGCGGUUAAUACCCGUUAGAUGUGACGUUAGCAACAGAAGAAGGACCGGCUAACUCCGUGCCAGCAGCCGCGGUAAUACGGAGGGUCCGAGCGUUAAUCGGAAUUACUGGGCGUAAAGCGCACGCAGGCGGUUUGUUAAGCUAGAUGUGAAAGCCCCGGGCUCAACCUGGGAAUAGCAUUUAGAACUGGCAGACUAGAGUCUUGGAGAGGGGAGUGGAAUUUCUGGUGUAGCGGUGAAAUGCGUAGAUAUCAGAAGGAACAUCAGUGGCGAAGGCGACUCCCUGGCCAAAGACUGACGCUCAUGUGCGAAAGUG
Molecule: ribosomal RNA, 577 nt
Filed under: uncultured Paraglaciecola sp.
Lineage: Bacteria; Pseudomonadati; Pseudomonadota; Gammaproteobacteria; Alteromonadales; Alteromonadaceae
Description: bacterial SSU rRNA
Rfam family: Bacterial small subunit ribosomal RNA
Source: RNAcentral